This 941-nucleotide ribosomal RNA is filed under the name Meloidogyne incognita (southern root-knot nematode). RNAcentral's name for it is "eukaryotic LSU rRNA". It matches the Rfam family "Eukaryotic large subunit ribosomal RNA", at positions 80 to 881 of the family's 3401-position model. Lineage: Eukaryota; Metazoa; Nematoda; Chromadorea; Rhabditida; Meloidogynidae. The record is from RNAcentral.
CCAGUAACGGCGAGUGAAAAGGGAAAAGUCCAUCGCUAAAUCGUUUUGCCUCAGGCAUUAUGAGGUGUAGCGUAUAAGUCGUAAACUUUGAUCUUUUGUCUCAAACAAGUCCCCUUGACAGAGGUUCCACAGAAGGUGCAAGUCCUGUACGUUGAGAUAAUUGAUCGAUAUUUGCGUGCUUUAGAGUCGGGUUGUUUGGGAUCGCAGCCCAAAGUCGGUGGUAAACUUCAUCUAAGACUUAAUAUUGCCACGAGACCGAUAGCAAACAAGUACUGUGAAGGAAAGUUGCAAAGCACUUUGAAGAGAGAGUUAAAGAGGACGUGAAACCGGUAAGGUGGAAACGGAUAGAGUCGGCGUAUCAUUCAAUUAUUCAGUUACAUUAUUUUUAUGUUGUGACCUCUGAGCUCCAGAUUGGGACAGAGGGAAUCAGCAUAAUUUUUUGUGGUGCAUUUACUUGAUUGGUGCUUGGGGAUGUUUGAGGCAGAUUUGUUUCCGUCGUUUUGAGGCCAGCUUGCUGGUACCCAAACGGUGUUAGCAUUUUUUGUCUUGGGCAUUUGAGUAUGGCUCACGUGUAUUUAUUGGACAGAUCUGAGUGUAAGUUACGGUCGCAUGCGACACGUGCUUUUCAAUUAGUUCGGUCCAGUUAAUGCUCUCGUACUCGUUCCCCAUGUAAAAGCCGGUCAUCUAUCCGACCCGUCUUGAAACACGGACCAAGGAGUUUAUCGUGUGCGCAAGUUUUUGGGUGUUAAAAACUUAAAAGCGAAAUGAAAGUAAAUGACUCUUUAGAGUCUGAUGUGCGAUCUUGUAAAAAAGUGCAGCAUGGCCCCAUUCUAACUGUUUACAGUAGGGUGGCGGAAGAGCGUACGCGGUGAGACCCGAAAGAUGGUGAACUAUUCCUGAGCAGGACGAAGCCAGAGGAAACUCUGGUGGAAGUCCGAAGC